GACGAACCGUGCAAACGUUGUUCGGAAUCACUGGGCUUAAAGGGCGCGUAGGCGGGUCUCCAAGUCGGUGGUGAAAUCUUUCGGCUCAACCGGAAAACAGCCGCCGAUACUGGGGGUCUCGAGGGAGGUAGGGGUCGAUGGAACUUCCGGUGGAGCGGUGAAAUGCGUAGAUAUCGGAAGGAACGCCGGUGGCGAAAGCGAUCGACUGGACCUUUUCUGACGCUGAGGCGCGAAAGCCAGGGGAGCAAACGGG
Molecule: ribosomal RNA, 253 nt
Filed under: uncultured bacterium
Lineage: Bacteria
Description: partial 16S ribosomal RNA
Rfam family: Bacterial small subunit ribosomal RNA
Source: RNAcentral